CAGUCGCCGCGGUAAUACAGAGGGUGCAAGCGUUAAUCGGAAUUACUGGGCGUAAAGCGCGCGUAGGUGGUUUGUUAAGUUGGAUGUGAAAUCCCCGGGCUCAACCUGGGAACUGCAUCCAAAACUGGCAAGCUAGAGUAUGGUAGAGGGUGGUGGAAUUUCCUGUGUAGCGGUGAAAUGCGUAGAUAUAGGAAGGAACACCAGUGGCGAAGGCGACCACCUGGACUGAUACUGACACUGAGGUGCGAAAGCGUGGGGAGCAAACAGGAUUAGAUACCCCUGUAGUCCCUGUCUCUUAUAA
RNAcentral lists this ribosomal RNA (301 nucleotides) under uncultured bacterium. RNAcentral describes it as "partial 16S ribosomal RNA". It matches the Rfam family "Bacterial small subunit ribosomal RNA", at positions 509 to 809 of the family's 1533-position model. The record is from RNAcentral.